GGGUGCGAUUAUAUCAGCACUAGUGCACUGAAUCCCAUCAAUACUCUGCAGUCAAGAGUGCUUAGGAGAGUGUAGUACUCGGAUGCGCGACCUCGAGGGAAGGCCUCGUGUAGCACCCU
RNAcentral lists this ribosomal RNA (119 nucleotides) under Eutrema salsugineum. Lineage: Eukaryota; Viridiplantae; Streptophyta; Magnoliopsida; Brassicales; Brassicaceae. The record is from RNAcentral.